GGAGUUGUGGCUCAGUGGUAGAGCAUUUGCCUCCCAUGUAUGAGGCCCUGGGUUCAAACCUCAGCACCA
Molecule: transfer RNA, 69 nt
Filed under: Ictidomys tridecemlineatus (thirteen-lined ground squirrel)
Lineage: Eukaryota; Metazoa; Chordata; Mammalia; Rodentia; Sciuridae
Description: Spermophilus tridecemlineatus (thirteen-lined ground squirrel) tRNA
Rfam family: tRNA
About the family: Transfer RNA (tRNA) molecules are approximately 80 nucleotides in length. Their secondary structure includes four short double-helical elements and three loops (D, anti-codon, and T loops). Further hydrogen bonds mediate the characteristic L-shaped molecular structure. tRNAs have two regions of fundamental functional importance: the anti-codon, which is responsible for specific mRNA codon recognition, and the 3' end, to which the tRNAs corresponding amino acid is attached (by aminoacyl-tRNA synthetases). tRNAs cope with the degeneracy of the genetic code in two manners: having more than one tRNA (with a specific anti-codon) for a particular amino acid; and 'wobble' base-pairing, i.e. permitting non-standard base-pairing at the 3rd anti-codon position.
Source: Rfam by way of RNAcentral